RNAcentral lists this ribosomal RNA (484 nucleotides) under uncultured Bacillota bacterium. Its description in RNAcentral is "bacterial SSU rRNA". It matches the Rfam family "Bacterial small subunit ribosomal RNA", at positions 419 to 896 of the family's 1533-position model. The record is from RNAcentral. Lineage: Bacteria; Bacillati; Bacillota.
CGGAUCGUAAAGCUCUGUUGUGAGGAAGAACAAGUACGGAGUAACUGUCCGUACCUUGACGGUACCUCAUUAGAAAGCCACGGCUAACUACGUGCCAGCAGCCGCGGUAAUACGUAGGUGGCAAGCGUUGUCCGGAAUUAUUGGGCGUAAAGCGCGCGCAGGCGGUCCUUUAAGUCUGAUGUGAAAGCCCAUGGCUCAACCGUGGAAGGUCAUUGGAAACUGGAGGACUUGAGUACAGAAGAGGAAAGCGGAAUUCCACGUGUAGCGGUGAAAUGCGUAGAGAUGUGGAGGAACACCAGUGGCGAAGGCGGCUUUCUGGUCUGUAACUGACGCUGAGGCGCGAAAGCGUGGGGAGCAAACAGGAUUAGAUACCCUGGUAGUCCACGCCGUAAACGAUGAGUGCUAAGUGUUAGGGGGUUUCCGCCCCUUAGUGCUGCAGCUAACGCAUUAAGCACUCCGCCUGGGGAGUACGGCCGCAAGGCUG